UUUAUGGAGAGUUUGAUCCUGGCUCAGAGUGAACGCUGGCGGCGUGCCUAACACAUGCAAGUUGAGCGGGAUUUUACAGAGUAUCGUAAAAUCUAGCGGCAAACGGGUGAGUAACACAUGGGAAACCUUCCUCAGAAUGUGGGAUAUCUCCGAGAAAUCGGAGUUAAUACCGCAUAAGACCACAAUUCGGCAUCGAAUAGGGGUAAAAGCAGCAAUGCGUUUUGAGAUGGUCCUGUGGACUAUCAGCUAGUUGGUAGUGUAACGGACUACCAAGGCUAUGACGGAUAUCCGGCCUGAAAGGGUGAACGGACACACUGGAACUGAGACACGGUCCAGACUCCUACGGGAGGCAGCAGUGGGGAAUUUUGGACAAUGGGGGAAACCCUGAUCCAGCGACGCCGCGUGGAGGACGAAGGCCUUCGGGUUGUAAACUCCUUUUAGAGGGGAAGAAAAAAAUGACGGUACUCUCAGAAAAAGCCACGGCUAACUACGUGCCAGCAGCCGCGGUAAUACGUAGGUGGCGAGCGUUACUCGGAAUUACUAGGCGUAAAGCGUAUGUAGGCGGUUAAAUAAGUCUUUAGUGAA
This 585-nucleotide ribosomal RNA is filed under the name Elusimicrobiota bacterium. Its description in RNAcentral is "bacterial SSU rRNA". It matches the Rfam family "Bacterial small subunit ribosomal RNA", at positions 1 to 598 of the family's 1533-position model. Lineage: Bacteria; Pseudomonadati; Elusimicrobiota. The record is from RNAcentral.